GGAGCUUAGGGCUGCAAGGACAGGCUGCCACCUCUGAGGAGCCUUCAGUCUGAAGAAUCAAUAGAGGCAAAGGGCCAGAGAUGGCUGCUUUUUGGAACAAACUGACAAACAAACAUUUGCUGCUGGAUCGGUGUAAAAAGUAUGUGCUUGAUUCCUAACCACGAUGGAUUGAAGAGACAAAAGAAAAGAGCAGUGCUGGCAGGACACUUUAUAUUCACUGCAGCAACUGAGAGCACUGCCUGUUCUCACUGUAUCUCCCAGGCCACAAUCGCGGGUGUCAGAUGUGUUUUUGCUAACAAGACUGUGGAACUGGUGAGCAGAGAGCUUUCCCACCCUUCCCUUCUCCCAAGCAUCCGUCAAGCCGCAGUUUCAGAGCAGCCACACCCUUCUUGUUAUUGUUGAAGUCAAAUAUUAAAGGU
Long non-coding RNA from Gallus gallus (chicken), 419 nucleotides. The record is from Ensembl. Lineage: Eukaryota; Metazoa; Chordata; Aves; Galliformes; Phasianidae.